UGUGAAGUUCAAAAGUUCAUACUGAAAUUUGCAAGCCGGUUUGUAAACAAAGCUUGUGAUUGGCUUAUAUUUGUUGUUCGGAGACCAAUCAGAGGCUUUGUUUACAAACCGGCUUGUAAAUUUCAGUAUGAACUUUUGAACUUCA
Paramuricea clavata is the source of this 145-nucleotide non-coding RNA. The record is from the annotation of a GenBank genome assembly. Lineage: Eukaryota; Metazoa; Cnidaria; Anthozoa; Malacalcyonacea; Plexauridae.